Molecule: transfer RNA, 65 nt
Filed under: Phallocryptus tserensodnomi
Lineage: Eukaryota; Metazoa; Arthropoda; Branchiopoda; Anostraca; Thamnocephalidae
Description: tRNA-Asn
Source: RNAcentral
UUAGAAGAAGCUAUUAUAGCAUUUCACUGUUACUGAAAAGAUAGGGAUUUAUUGCCCCUUCUGAG